Molecule: ribosomal RNA, 472 nt
Filed under: uncultured bacterium
Lineage: Bacteria
Description: bacterial SSU rRNA
Rfam family: Bacterial small subunit ribosomal RNA
Source: RNAcentral
CUAGGACGAACGCUGGCGGCGCGCUUAACACAUGCAAGUCGAACGGUGAACGGCGGAAAGCUUGCUUUGGCUGCUCAUAGUGGCGGACGGGUGAGUAACGCGUGAGGACUUGUCCUGUACAGGGGGACAACUGAUGGAAACGUCAGCUAAUACCCCAUAAGCCGUGAGGUAAAAGGAGCGAUCCGGUACAGGAGAGACUCGCGUUCUAUCAGUUAGUUGGUGAGGUAACGGCUCACCAAGGCGAAGACGGAUAGCCGGACUGAGAGGUUGGCCGGCCACAUUGGAACUGAGAUACGGUCCAGACUCCUGCGGGAGGCAGCAGUGGGGAAUAUUGGGCAAUGGGGGAAACCCUGACCCAAGCGACGCCGCGUGAGUGAAGAAAUCCCUCGGGAUGUAAAGCUCUGUUGUGCGGGAAGAAGGAAGUGACGGUACCGCACGAGGAAGCCACGGCAAACUACGUGCCAGCAGCUGC